CCGCUUAACACAUGCAAGUCGAGGGGCAGCAUGGUCUUAGCUUGCUGAGGCUGAUGGCGACCGGCGCACGGGUGAGUAACACGUAUCCAACCUGCCGUCUACUCUUGGACAGCCUUCUGAAAGGAAGAUUAAUACAAGAUGGCAUCAUGAGUCCACAUGUUCACAUGAUUAAAGGUAUUCCGGUAGACGAUGGGGAUGCGUUCCAUUAGAUAGUAGGCGGGGUAACGGCCCACCUAGUCUUCGAUGGAUAGGGGUUCUGAGAGGAAGGUCCCCCACAUUGGAACUGAGACACGGUCCAAACUCCUACGGGAGGCAGCAGUGAGGAAUAUUGGUCAAUGGGCGAGAGCCUGAACCAGCCAAGUAGCGUGAAGGAUGACUGCCCUAUGGGUUGUAAACUUCUUUUAUAAAGGAAUAAAGUCGGGUAUGCAUACCCGUUUGCAUGUACUUUAUGAAUAAGGAUCGGCUAACUCCGUGCCAGCAGCCGCGGUAAUACGGAGGAUCCGAGCGUUAUCCGGAUUUAUUGGGUUUAAAGGGAGCGUAGAUGGAUGUUUAAGUCAGUUGUGAAAGUUUGCGGCUCAACCGUAAAAUUGCAGUUGAUACUGGAUAUCUUGAGUGCAGUUGAGGCAGGCGGAAUUCGUGGUGUAGCGGUGAAAUGCUUAGAUAUCACGAAGAACUCCGAUUGCGAAGGCAGCCUGCUAAGCUGCAACUGACAUUGAGGCUCGAAAGUGUGGGUAUCAAACAGGAUUAGAUACCCUGGUAGUCCACACGGUAAACGAUGAAUACUCGCUGUUUGCGAUAUACGGCAAGCGGCUAAGCGAAAGCGUUAAGUAUUCCACCUGGGGAGUACGCCGGCAACGGUGAAACUCAAAGGAAUUGACGGGGGCCCGCACAAGCGGAGGAACAUGUGGUUUAAUUCGAUGAUACGCGAGGAACCUUACCCGGGCUUAAAUUGCAGAUGAAUUACGGUGAAAGCCGUAAGCCGCAAGGCAUCUGUGAAGGUGCUGCAUGGUUGUCGUCAGCUCGUGCCGUGAGGUGUCGGCUUAAGUGCCAUAACGAGCGCAACCCUUGUUGUCAGUUACUAACAGGUUCCGCUGAGGACUCUGACAAGACUGCCAUCGUAAGAUGUGAGGAAGGUGGGGAUGACGUCAAAUCAGCACGGCCCUUACGUCCGGGGCUACACACGUGUUACAAUGGGGGGUACAGAGGGCCGCUACCACGCGAGUGGAUGCCAAUCCCCAAAACCUCUCUCAGUUCGGACUGGAGUCUGCAACCCGACUCCACGAAGCUGGAUUCGCUAGUAAUCGCGCAUCAGCCACGGCGCGGUGAAUACGUUCCCGGGCCUUGUACACACCGCCCGUCAAGCCAUGGGAGCCGGGGGUACCUGAAGUGCGUAACCGCGAGGAGCGCCCUAGGGUAAAACUGGUGACUGGGGCUA
RNAcentral lists this ribosomal RNA (1435 nucleotides) under uncultured organism. Its description in RNAcentral is "SSU rRNA". It matches the Rfam family "Bacterial small subunit ribosomal RNA". The record is from RNAcentral.